GUAACAAGGUCUCCGUAGGUGAACCUGCGGAGGGAUCAUUACACAAUAAAAUACGAAGGCCGUUCGCGGCUGGACUAUUUAUUACCCUUGUCUUUUGCGCACUUGUUGUUUCCUGGGCGGGUUCGCUCGCCACCAGGACCACAAUAUAAACCUUUUUUAUGCAGUUGCAAUCAGCGUCAGUAUAACAAAUGUAAAUCAUUUACAACUUUCAACAACGGAUCUCUUGGUUCUGGCAUCGAUGAAGAACGCAGCGAAAUGCGAUACGUAGUGUGAAUUGCAGAAUUCAGUGAAUCAUCGAAUCUUUGAACGCACAUUGCGCCCUUUGGUAUUCCAAAGGGCAUGCCUGUUCGAGCGUCAUUUGUACCCUCAAGCUUUGCUUGGUGUUGGGCGUUUUUGUCUUUGGCCCGCCAAAGACUCGCCUUAAAAUGAUUGGCAGCCGGCCUACUGGUUUCGCAGCGCAGCACAUUUUUGCGCUUGCAAUCAGCAAAAGAGGAUGGCAAUCCAUCAAGACUCCUUCUCACGUUGACCUCGGAU
Molecule: ribosomal RNA, 534 nt
Filed under: Curvularia australiensis
Lineage: Eukaryota; Fungi; Ascomycota; Dothideomycetes; Pleosporales; Pleosporaceae
Description: eukaryotic LSU rRNA
Rfam family: 5.8S ribosomal RNA (bases 204-357)
Source: RNAcentral